AAACCAACAGGGAUUGCCUUAGUAACUGCGAGUGAAGCGGCAAAAGCUCAAAUUUGAAAUCCUUCGGGAGUUGUAAUUUGAAGGUUUGGAGAUUGGCGCGACAGAAAAGUUGCCUGGAACGGCACGCCACAGAGGGUGACAGCCCCGUUAGUCUGCCUUUUAUAUCUCCUUUCCAAAGAGUCGAGUUGUUUGGGAAUGCAGCUCAAAGUGGGUGGUAAAUUCCAUCUAAGGCUAAAUAUUGGCGAGAGACCGAUAGCGAACAAGUACUGUGAAGGAAAGAUGAAAAGAACUUUGAAAAGAGAGUGAAAAAGUAUGUGAAAUUGUUGAAAGGGAAGGGUGUUGGGAGAGACAUGGGCGUUCAGUUCAGCGGUACUUUGGUGCCGUGUACUCUGGGCGUCCGCGGGAUGGUUGGGGACGAGAGAGUGAAAAAGCCCUUGAGCCCGCUUCGGCACCGCUCUUGGGUUCUGGCUCUCCUCGCUCCUUGCCCUCCCUUAAUCUCACAACACCAC
Molecule: ribosomal RNA, 509 nt
Filed under: Yarrowia sp. NYNU 14423
Lineage: Eukaryota; Fungi; Ascomycota; Dipodascomycetes; Dipodascales
Description: eukaryotic LSU rRNA
Rfam family: Eukaryotic large subunit ribosomal RNA
Source: RNAcentral